GCCCUCAUGGUGUAGUGGUUUAACACCUGGAUGGCAUCUUGUUUCGGCAAGAGGCAGUUGGUUCGAAUCCAGCUGGGGACA
Molecule: transfer RNA, 81 nt
Organism: Thielaviopsis punctulata
Lineage: Eukaryota; Fungi; Ascomycota; Sordariomycetes; Microascales; Ceratocystidaceae
Rfam family: tRNA
About the family: Transfer RNA (tRNA) molecules are approximately 80 nucleotides in length. Their secondary structure includes four short double-helical elements and three loops (D, anti-codon, and T loops).
Source: Rfam